RNAcentral lists this ribosomal RNA (1028 nucleotides) under Klebsiella pneumoniae. Its description in RNAcentral is "bacterial SSU rRNA". It matches the Rfam family "Bacterial small subunit ribosomal RNA", at positions 62 to 1081 of the family's 1533-position model. The record is from RNAcentral. Lineage: Bacteria; Pseudomonadati; Pseudomonadota; Gammaproteobacteria; Enterobacterales; Enterobacteriaceae.
UCGAGCGGUAGCACAGAGAGCUUGCUCUCGGGUGACGAGCGGCGGACGGGUGAGUAAUGUCUGGGAAACUGCCUGAUGGAGGGGGAUAACUACUGGAAACGGUAGCUAAUACCGCAUAAUGUCGCAAGACCAAAGUGGGGGACCUUCGGGCCUCAUGCCAUCAGAUGUGCCCAGAUGGGAUUAGCUAGUAGGUGGGGUAACGGCUCACCUAGGCGACGAUCCCUAGCUGGUCUGAGAGGAUGACCAGCCACACUGGAACUGAGACACGGUCCAGACUCCUACGGGAGGCAGCAGUGGGGAAUAUUGCACAAUGGGCGCAAGCCUGAUGCAGCCAUGCCGCGUGUAUGAAGAAGGCCUUCGGGUUGUAAAGUACUUUCAGCGGGGAGGAAGGCGAUAAGGUUAAUAACCUUGUCGAUUGACGUUACCCGCAGAAGAAGCACCGGCUAACUCCGUGCCAGCAGCCGCGGUAAUACGGAGGGUGCAAGCGUUAAUCGGAAUUACUGGGCGUAAAGCGCACGCAGGCGGUCUGUCAAGUCGGAUGUGAAAUCCCCGGGCUCAACCUGGGAACUGCAUUCGAAACUGGCAGGCUAGAGUCUUGUAGAGGGGGGUAGAAUUCCAGGUGUAGCGGUGAAAUGCGUAGAGAUCUGGAGGAAUACCGGUGGCGAAGGCGGCCCCCUGGACAAAGACUGACGCUCAGGUGCGAAAGCGUGGGGAGCAAACAGGAUUAGAUACCCUGGUAGUCCACGCCGUAAACGAUGUCGAUUUGGAGGUUGUGCCCUUGAGGCGUGGCUUCCGGAGCUAACGCGUUAAAUCGACCGCCUGGGGAGUACGGCCGCAAGGUUAAAACUCAAAUGAAUUGACGGGGGCCCGCACAAGCGGUGGAGCAUGUGGUUUAAUUCGAUGCAACGCGAAGAACCUUACCUGGUCUUGACAUCCACAGAACUUGCCAGAGAUGGCUUGGUGCCUUCGGGAACUGUGAGACAGGUGCUGCAUGGCUGUCGUCAGCUCGUGUUGUGAAAUGUUGGGUU